CCUGUUCAGAGAACAAUGGAGCUGGCUGCUUGGCUGUAGAUCCAACAUCUCCUCAAUUGACCAACAGAGUAUUUGAUUUACAAACCAGUUGAAUGAACUCAGAUAAAUCAUUUGGACUGGAAAGCUUGCCUCAUGGUACUCUGUUCUUACCGACAGCCCAUUGAGUUGGACAAAUCCAUUACACCAGCAACCCUUGAAAGCAAAUCUUUUUCAGUGAGCGUGUCAUGGAACCACAGUUCCAUCCAUGGAGGAAAACUACGGCUCGCACUGCCUCAGGAAGGCAAAACACAUCCUAAGAGGUCCAAAUCAUCCUCACUUUUUGAGCUGCUUCCCUCUGGCAGACGUUUUAGGACAUGAAAAGCAAGAACAAACAGACUAAAAAACUGUUUUUAUUCAAGAGCCAUUACUGCUCUCAACACUGCUUGAGGCUUUUUGAAUAUUGACUUUGUGCAAUAUAGUCAAGUGCAAUACACAAGUGCAACAAUAACAAACUGUGCAAUAAUAAGACUCAGUGAUUUGAUUUGUAUGUUGUGCGUGUAUGACAGUUUUUUUAUUUUUUAUUAAGAUGUACUUUUUAUACCUUGAUUGUUGUUGUUUUUGUCUCUUUUAAAUGGCACCUAAUGAGGACUGCACCUUUCAAAUUCAUUGUGCUUGUUGCAAUGACAAAAAAUGCAUUCCAUUCGAUGUCCAGUUACAAGGUUUGAAAUAAAAAAUGAAACUGAAUGGUAAUAAAAAUAAAGAAAUGUGAACUAA
Long non-coding RNA from Notolabrus celidotus (New Zealand spotty), 753 nucleotides. RefSeq lists it as uncharacterized. The transcript is spliced from 2 exons. The record is from RefSeq and is a predicted model, not a curated record. Lineage: Eukaryota; Metazoa; Chordata; Actinopteri; Labriformes; Labridae.